CUACGGGAGGCAGCAGUGAGGAAUAUUGCACAAUGGAGGAAACUCUGAUGCAGCAACGCCGCGUGGAGGAUGACGCAUUUCGGUGUGUAAACUCCUUUUAUUAGGGAAGAUAAUGACGGUACCUAAUGAAUAAGCACCGGCUAACUCCGUGCCAGCAGCCGCGGUAAU
Molecule: ribosomal RNA, 168 nt
Filed under: uncultured soil bacterium
Lineage: Bacteria
Description: partial 16S ribosomal RNA
Rfam family: Bacterial small subunit ribosomal RNA
Source: RNAcentral